Molecule: long non-coding RNA, 2988 nt
Organism: Helianthus annuus (common sunflower)
Lineage: Eukaryota; Viridiplantae; Streptophyta; Magnoliopsida; Asterales; Asteraceae
Exons: 9
Source: RefSeq, a predicted model, not a curated record
AGUCAAUUGAAAUCCCUAAUUUUUUGCCAUUUUCUACCAUUAUUGCCCCUCCCCUAACACACCGGCCUCCCUUUUUUCCCCAACUAAACCCUAUCACAUUCCUUCACUCUUCAAUUGCAGCGAUGAAACGUCUGGACUUCCGACGGUUUCCAAGCCCCCUCUACUCUAUAAUAACUAUACAUACUAGAGAAAAUAGAGAGUUGGAGAGAGGGAGAGAGAGAUGGGGCUAAGAUGGAGAACAGGAUAAUAUGAGGGAUCCAGUCGAUGGUUCCGACGACCGUUCUACGGCGGCAUAGCCACCACCACCACCACAACAUCAGCGAGUGGAGUUCAAGAGACGCCGGCGGGGUGGGGUUCCGAUUAGUCGUACAGUCUUUGGAACACUGGUAACCCUGGUGAUCUCUGCAUCCCAUCACAGGGAGGUAAUUCAUGUAGAAUUAUGAAUUGUAUUCUAGCAGUCAAAUCCUACAAUGAGUGGAAACAAACAGAUCAAUCAUUGGGUUUCUCGGGGCACUAAAGAACAACUCUAUAAUGUUAUGGAUGGUAUAUUCAUGUACUAAAGGUCUAAGAUUACGAUUUUGUUACUGUCUUCCGGUCCUUUCAUGAAUUUUUAAGUUAAUUGCAAUAUUUGAUCAUGCUAUGCUUGGUUUUGAUGGGGAUUCUUGUAUUUACAGUCUUGAUGUAAGUGUACUUGGUUGAUUCAUAGACUCUAUAUACAUGAUGAUUUCAAAAGUCCAGAUAUUUAUGAAAGAAAUCGGUAUAAAGAAAGAACCCGCUUGCAGGUGGGUGGAUAUCAAAAACUUUGUGCACAUGAAUGUGGCAAAUGAUGAAAAUCACCGUAUGUAGAAUGAGAUUAAUAAAAUGUGGGGUAAGAUUAGUGAAAGAAAUUAAGGAAAUCGGGUACGUGCCUGACAUGAGUCAUGUUUUGUUGUAUGUUGAUGAGCAAGAAAGAGAAGUGAAGUUACAAUAUCAUAGUGAAAAACUUGCUUUGGCUUUUGCACUUUUAAAGACGCCACCGGGGUCCACUAUUAGGAUUAAGAAGAACAUUAGAGUUAGGGGUGGCAAUCGUGUCGGGUUGAUGGGUUGGCGGGUUGACGGGUUACGGGUUGGCGGGUUGGUGGGUUGAAAUGUUCAACCCGAACCCUGACCCAUAUUAUUAUUCGGGUCAAAAAUUUCAACCCUAACCCGACCCGUAUUAAUUCGGGUCAACCCAAACCCGACCCGUUUAACCCAUAUUUUUAAAUGAGUGAGAUAAGUUGACGAUUUAUAAACGAGUUGUUAGGUUUUAAGCGGGUUAUCUAUAACAUGUUUAAUGAUGAGUAUGGGUGUGAUAAAUAAAUAAUAUAAUGUGUCAAAAUUAACAUUAUUAUAACUAACCAUGUAAAUUAGAAACCGAAAAAACAAAAAUAUAAAAGAUUUUUUUAUCUAAAUAGUUAAACGGGUUAAUGGGUCAACCCGUUUUUAUAUGGGUCAACCCGAACCUGACCCGUUUUUAUAUGGGUCAACCCGAACCCGACCCGUUUUUAAUAGAGUUUGUGGUGAUUGUCAUUCGGCUUUUAAGUAUGCUUCACUGGUGGUCGAGCGAGAAAUUAUUUUGAGGGACACGAAUCGGUUUCAUCAUUUUUAUCGUGGAUCUUGUUCUUGUGGCGAUUAUUGGUAGAUUUUUGAAAUAAAGAAAAACCUGUAACUUUGUCUAACUUAAAAAAUUUGUUAGUCAUGAUAUGCAUACAGAUGUUGUGCAUGUGAUUUUACCUUGAUUGUUUCCUUCAGCUUGAAAGCUGAGUUUACUACAGGUCUGAUACUUUAGUUCAUUUUUUUUUCUCGAUUUUGUAUUAUUAGAACUUUUUAAACUUCAUAACUUUUUUUUAUACAGAAAACAUGUUACUCUAAGGGCUGGCCCUGUUGUAUAGACGACUGUUGAUCUUUUAGGGUUUUUUUUUUAUGCAUCAUGUGUCUUGUUACAACUACAUAUAGUUGAUCAAUAUACAGUAAUUCACGUGGAACCUUCUUUAUUAUAUGAAGACCAAUUUUCUUGCAUUGAUGAUAUCUUUCUUAUGUUUGUCAAGUUCUCUAAGUUGAUGAUUUCCUUAAUCUGACAUCGAGCGGAUUUUCAUUCAUGGUGUGUUCCGAUUACAAAGUACAGAAUUUUUAAAGAAACUUUGUUAAGUGGAAGUCAUAUGGCAUCUCAUGGCGUUACCCUGCCUCAAGUUGAUAAGUGGUCCUGUUCUUGGGCUGCAAGAGACCCAGUUGAUUUUGGUUCGCGGGCCGCUCUGGCUGGAGCCGGACCCUCCACCAUUUCGAUUUGGUCCGUUUCCUUUUGAACCAUGCAAUUUUGGCAGGCAGGCAGGAAGGCAGUUGAACCAGUAACUUGGUUAGCCACGAUGUUGCAGGUUUGACGUAAGAUCAAAGCGACAAUUCUAUACAAGGAGGAUCAGCUCCAGGAUUAUGUCUCUUGGUUUAUAAAAAAAUUAAACAACCCCCUUAACUGGAAACACCUUCAAAGUUGUUUUGUUAAAACCGAGGUUUGCAAUAGCCUGCCAAAAAGAUACAGAACUCUCAAACAAUACAAAUUGGCAGAAUUAACUCCCAUUGAAGCUGUUGCAGACCACCCUCUCAGUGUGGUUAUCCUGCUUUUAAUGCAUCUUACUAUGAUUUGAGCUUUCAUCCAGUGAGCUCUAACAAGGACUGCAAAACUGUGAUUCGUGCAAAGCUGGAGUGGCACAAUACAUAAAAACCAAAUGGCGUGUGGUUGCUAUCUUUAACGUGAUUUUGCUUGUGAUCUUGGAUGCUGUGCAAGACGAAAUGCUGCUUGGAUGCACUCAAAAGUCUAAAGACAAAAUAAUAACAUCAUGAUGGAUUUGAUUAUUUAUAUACAGACUUAUGUAAUUGUAAUUAACGAGUUUACGCUAACCCGCGCAUUGCCAUAUUAUUUGUUUGUGAACUAAUAAAUUAUUUAAUAAAAAACAAUGUAUCAGAUGUUUGAUCAAA